UACGGAGGGUGCAAGCGUUAAUCGGAAUUACUGGGCGUAAAGCGUGCGUAGGUGGUUUGUUAAGUCAGGCGUGAAAGCCCCGGGCUCAACCUGGGAACUGCGUUUGAUACUGACAAACUAGAGUGUGGUAGAGGGUAGUGGAAUUCCCGGUGUAGCGGUGAAAUGCGUAGAUAUCGGGAGGAACAUCAGUGGCGAAGGCGGCUACCUGGACCAACACUGACACUGAGGUACGAAAGCGUGGGUAGCAAACAGG
This 253-nucleotide ribosomal RNA is filed under the name uncultured bacterium. RNAcentral's name for it is "partial 16S ribosomal RNA". It matches the Rfam family "Bacterial small subunit ribosomal RNA", at positions 524 to 776 of the family's 1533-position model. The record is from RNAcentral.